GACGAACGCUGGCGGCGUGCCUAAUACAUGCAAGUAGAACGCUGAAGAGAGGAGCUUGCUCUUCUUGGAUGAGUUGCGAACGGGUGAGUAACGCGUAGGUAACCUGCCUGGUAGCGGGGGAUAACUAUUGGAAACGAUAGCUAAUACCGCAUGAUAUUAAUUGUCGCAUGAUAAUUAAUUGAAAGAUGCAAUUGCAUCACUACCAGAUGGACCUGCGUUGUAUUAGCUAGUUGGUGAGGUAACGGCUCACCAAGGCGACGAUACAUAGCCGACCUGAGAGGGUGAUCGGCCACACUGGGACUGAGACACGGCCCAGACUCCUACGGGAGGCAGCAGUAGGGAAUCUUCGGCAAUGGGGGGAACCCUGACCGAGCAACGCCGCGUGAGUGAAGAAGGUUUUCGGAUCGUAAAGCUCUGUUGUAAGAGAAGAACGGGUGUGAGAGUGGAAAGUUCACACUGUGACGGUAUCUUACCAGAAAGGGACGGCUAACUACGUGCCAGCAGCCGCGGUAAUACGUAGGUCCCGAGCGUUGUCCGGAUUUAUUGGGCGUAAAGCGAGCGCAGGCGGUUAGAUAAGUCUGAAGUAAAGGCUGUGGCUUAACCAUAGUAUGCUUUGGAAAACUGUUUAACUUGAGUGCAGAAGGGGAGAGUGGAAUUCCAUGUGUAGCGGUGAAAUGCGUAGAUAUAUGGAGGAACACCGGUGGGCGAAAGCGGCUCUCUGGUCUGUAACUGACGCUGAGGCUCGAAAGCGUGGGGAGCAAACGGGAUUAGAUACCCUGGUAGUCCACGCCGUAAACGAUGAGUGCUAGGUGUUAGGCCCUUUCCGGGGCUUAGUGCCGCAGCUAACGCAUUAAGCACUCCGCCUGGGGAGUACGACCGCAAGGUUGAAACUCAAAGGAAUUGACGGGGGCCCGCACAAGCGGUGGAGCAUGUGGUUUAAUUCGAAGCAACGCGAAGAACCUUACCAGGUCUUGACAUCCCUCUGACCGCUCUAGAGAUAGAGUUUUCCUUCGGGACAGAGGUGACAGGUGGUGCAUGGUUGUCGUCAGCUCGUGUCGUGAGAUGUUGGGUUAAGUCCCGCAACGAGCGCAACCCCUAUUGUUAGUUGCCAUCAUUGAGUUGGGCACUCUAGCGAGACUGCCGGUAAUAAACCGGAGGAAGGUGGGGAUGACGUCAAAUCAUCAUGCCCCUUAUGACCUGGGCUACACACGUGCUACAAUGGCUGGUACAACGAGUCGCAAGCCGGUGACGGCAAGCUAAUCUCUGAAAGCCAGUCUCAGUUCGGAUUGUAGGCUGCAACUCGCCUACAUGAAGUCGGAAUCGCUAGUAAUCGCGGAUCAGCACGCCGCGGUGAAUACGUUCCCGGGCCU
RNAcentral lists this ribosomal RNA (1370 nucleotides) under uncultured bacterium. RNAcentral's name for it is "bacterial SSU rRNA". It matches the Rfam family "Bacterial small subunit ribosomal RNA", at positions 28 to 1381 of the family's 1533-position model. The record is from RNAcentral.